This 440-nucleotide ribosomal RNA is filed under the name Kosakonia sp. RNAcentral describes it as "bacterial SSU rRNA". It matches the Rfam family "Bacterial small subunit ribosomal RNA", at positions 352 to 784 of the family's 1533-position model. Lineage: Bacteria; Pseudomonadati; Pseudomonadota; Gammaproteobacteria; Enterobacterales; Enterobacteriaceae. The record is from RNAcentral.
CAGUGGGGAAUAUUGCACAAUGGGCGCAAGCCUGAUGCAGCCAUGCCGCGUGUAUGAAGAAGGCCUUCGGGUUGUAAAGUACUUUCAGCGGGGAGGAAGGCGAUGCGGUUAAUAACCGCGUCGAUUGACGUUACCCGCAGAAGAAGCACCGGCUAACUCCGUGCCAGCAGCCGCGGUAAUACGGAGGGUGCAAGCGUUAAUCGGAAUUACUGGGCGUAAAGCGCACGCAGGCGGUCUGUCAAGUCGGAUGUGAAAUCCCCGGGCUCAACCUGGGAACUGCAUCCGAAACUGGCAGGCUUGAGUCUCGUAGAGGGGGGUAGAAUUCCAGGUGUAGCGGUGAAAUGCGUAGAGAUCUGGAGGAAUACCGGUGGCGAAGGCGGCCCCCUGGACGAAGACUGACGCUCAGGUGCGAAAGCGUGGGGAGCAAACAGGAUUAGAUA